This 468-nucleotide unclassified non-coding RNA is filed under the name Zanthoxylum molle. Its description in RNAcentral is "partial external transcribed spacer". The record is from RNAcentral. Lineage: Eukaryota; Viridiplantae; Streptophyta; Magnoliopsida; Sapindales; Rutaceae.
UACCUCUGCAGGCUCUGUGCUCGUGCAUCGAACUGUCGACGCCCCAUCCGCUUCAGUCUUGCCCCAAGCGCAGCUCUUGGCUUGCGGGUGCCAAAGGUAUCCUGUGUUGCUUACCCACGGAAAGGAAUUCGAUGGUUUUGGUGUCCCCAUCCGCCUUGUGCCCUUUGGGGUGCGGGGUGGACGCGAGGCGGGCUCCGUGUUCCCCGCGCGUCGAGUGCAUUGACACUUGACCGUUGUGGCCCAUGGGGUCUCGACCCGUGCUCUCGGAUGCGGAAUGUUGUGUGUGGGCGUGGGGUCUCGGCCUCUUCUCGUCCAAGCUACACGCAUUGUCCCUUAACAUGAACGACUAUCGCGCUCGUCUUGAUCGACCGACCGAGGCCCUGUUGCGGUUUUCGGAAGGGCGGCUCAUGCGGAUGUCGAUGUCGGAGAGGAAUGCUACCUGGUUGAUCCUGCCAGUAGUCAUAUGCC